CCUACGGGAGGCAGCAGUAGGGAAUCUUUCACAAUGGGCGAAAGCCUGAUGGAGCAACGCCGCGUGCAGGAUGAAGGCCUUCGGGUUGUAAACUGCUUUUAUAAGCGAGAAAUAUGAUGGUAACUUAUGAAUAAGGAUCGGCUAACUACGUGCCAGCAGCCGCGGUCAUACGUAGGAUCCGAGCAUUAUCCGGAGUGACUGGGUGUAAAGAGUUGCGUAGGUGGCAUAAUAAGUAGCUAGUGAAAUCUGGUGGCUCAACCAUUCAGACUAUUAUCUAAACUGUUAAGCUCGAGACCGUUAGAGGUAACUGGAAUUUCUGGUGUAGGAGUGAAAUCCGUAGAUAUUAGAAGGAACACCAAUAGCGUAGGCAGGUUGCUGGGACGGUUCUGACACUAAGGCGCGAAAGCGUAGGGAGCAAACGGGAUUAGAUACCCUAGUAGUC
RNAcentral lists this ribosomal RNA (442 nucleotides) under uncultured bacterium. RNAcentral describes it as "partial 16S ribosomal RNA". It matches the Rfam family "Bacterial small subunit ribosomal RNA", at positions 338 to 795 of the family's 1533-position model. The record is from RNAcentral.